RNAcentral lists this ribosomal RNA (1003 nucleotides) under Hyalella tiwanaku. RNAcentral describes it as "16S ribosomal RNA". The stretch from base 611 to 959 matches the Rfam family "Archaeal large subunit ribosomal RNA", at positions 2150 to 2716 of the family's 2987-position model. Lineage: Eukaryota; Metazoa; Arthropoda; Malacostraca; Amphipoda; Hyalellidae. The record is from RNAcentral.
AAUUUUUAGUACUUAUAGGAGAUAUUUUAACUCCAUAGUGGUUUAAUUGCCUUUUGUUUCAGGAUUUGUUUAAAUAAAGUAGUACAGCAAAUUCUCGAAACCUUUACGAACUAAACAACGCCUAUUAAAUAAGACCCUGUUUAAUUUAGAAGUGAAACUCUACGAGUUAGGUUAGCUAGUUAUGUUUUAUUAAGGGAGAAAGUCUCUUUUCUUCUAUAAUUUUUUACAUAUUUAUAAAAAUUAGCUUUUAUACUAAGCCAAUUAAUUAUUUACUACAAAUAAUUCAAGAGCUUCAUAUAUAUAUAUAUAGGCGUAGAGCAGCAUAGCUUCGAUUUAACUCAAGUAUAGUAUAAUUACAAAAUUAUUAUUUAAACUCUUUUUAUACAAGGAACUCAAAUAACUAUUGAAUGUUUAACAAAAACUUUUCUUUUUGACAGAUAAAGGGUACGGCCUGCCCAGUGAGUAUUUAACGGCUGCGGUAUACUGACCGUGCUAAGGUAGCAUAAUCAUUUGGCUCUUAAUUGGAGUCUGGAAUGAACGGCCUAACAGUUGUCUUUUGUCUGUAAUAAAUUAAAUAAUUUAGGGUUUAAGUAAAAACACUUAAAUAAAAGAGGGGGACGAUAAGACCCUAGAAGCUUUAUAAUCAUAAUAUUACUAAUUUUUUUAUAAAAUAGGGGUUUAAAAGUUAUUUAACUGGGGCGGUAGUACUAUUUACACUAGCAUUAAUUUAAACAAUGGAUUUUAAGUUCCUUUAAAUAAGGAAAAAUAGGUUAAGUUACUCUAGGGAUAACAGCGCAAUGUUUAUGGAAAGUUCCUAUUUAUAUAAACGAUUACGACCUCGAUGUUGAAUUAAGAUAUCCUUAUAGAGUAGCCCCUAUUAGCGAGAGUUUGUUCAACUUUUAAAUUUUUACAUGAUUUGAGUUCAAAUCGGUUUAAGCCAGAUUGGUUUCUAUCUCCUCAAUAAAACCUAUCAGUUUAGUACGAAAGGACCAACUGAUCUUUA